GUUGCUGUAUGUUGGCUUCAUACACAGUUUACAUACUAAAGAAUUUAUCAGCAUUAUCAAAUAAAUGGUUUUCAAUCCAUUGAAAGGAAGCCAUGUUUGUUGCAAUAUGUUGUUUGUGGUAGACACUGGAAAAAAACCUACUAUUGAAUGUGUAUUUAUUUGUCUCCUGGUACAAAACUGAUGGAAGAGCAGCCAUGAUGAAGCAGUAAAAAGGUUCUUGGAUACCUUGCUUCAAUACCUCCGGUUGGACAAGAAAAGACCUGGCUAAGGAUAGUAGAGCUUCAAAUAAUUUAUCACCAAGAAAGUUACUGAUUUAAACCAAAUCCUGUAACGCGAAAGAUUCUUAAUUAAGCUAAGUGUGCAAUAUUAGGUCAGUUAAGAUACCUCCAUGGUUAAGACGAAAGUAAUGCAUAAUAGGUUUAUUUUGAAAUCUAGACAUAGUAGCUGUUGUUAUAUUACAAAAACUCUGA
This 470-nucleotide long non-coding RNA is filed under the name Anneissia japonica. RNAcentral describes it as "uncharacterized LOC117124998". The record is from RNAcentral. Lineage: Eukaryota; Metazoa; Echinodermata; Crinoidea; Comatulida; Comatulidae.